GAUGAACGCUGGCGGCGUGCUUAAUACAUGCAAGUCGAGCGAACAGACGAUGCUCUUGCUCCUCUGACGUUAGCGGCGGACGUGUGAGUAACACGUGUAUAACCUACCUAUAUGACUGGUAUAACUUCGGGAAACCGGCUCUAAUACCGUAUAAUAUCUUGCACCGCAUGGUUCAAUAGUGAAAUACGGUUUUUCUGUCACUUAUCGAUGGAUCUGGGCUGCAUUAGAUAGUUGUUAAGUUAACGGCUUACCAAGGCGACGAUGCGUAGCCGAACUGAGAGGGGGGUAGGCAGCCUGGGAAGUGAAACACGGACCAGAGUACUAAGGGAGGCAGCAGAAGGGAAUGGGACGCAAUGGGGGAAAGCCUGACGGAGCAACGGGGCGUGAGUGAUGAAGGUCUUCGGAUCGUGAAAAUCGGUUAUUAGGGAAGAACAAAUGUGGAAGUAAAUAUGCACGUAUUGACGGUACCUAAUAAGAAAGCAACGGCUAACUACGUG
RNAcentral lists this ribosomal RNA (497 nucleotides) under uncultured bacterium. Its description in RNAcentral is "partial 16S ribosomal RNA". It matches the Rfam family "Bacterial small subunit ribosomal RNA", at positions 28 to 507 of the family's 1533-position model. The record is from RNAcentral.